AUUGAACGCUGGCGGCAGGCCUAACACAUGCAAGUCGAACGGUAACAGGAAGCAGCUUGCUGCUUUGCUGACGAGUGGCGGACGGGUGAGUAAUGUCUGGGAAACUGCCCGAUGGAGGGGGAUAACUACUGGAAACGGUAGCUAAUACCGCAUAACGUCGCAAGACCAAAGAGGGGGACCUUAGGGCCUCUUGCCAUCGGAUGUGCCCAGAUGGGAUUCGCUAGUAGGUGGGGUAACGGCUCACCUAGUCGACGAUCCCUAGCUGGUCUGAGAGGAUGACCAGCCACACUGGAACUGAGACACGGUCCAGACUCCUACGGGAGGCAGCAGUGGGGAAUAUUGCACAAUGGGCGCAAGCCUGAUGCAGCCAUGCCGCGUGUAUGAAGAAGGCCUUCGGGUUGUAAAGUACUUUCAGCGGGGAGGAAGGGAGUAAAGUUAAUACCUUGGCUGAUUGACGUUACCCGCAGAAGAAGCACCGGCUAACUCCGUG
RNAcentral lists this ribosomal RNA (490 nucleotides) under uncultured bacterium. RNAcentral describes it as "partial 16S ribosomal RNA". It matches the Rfam family "Bacterial small subunit ribosomal RNA", at positions 30 to 507 of the family's 1533-position model. The record is from RNAcentral.